GGAGGUAUAGCUCAGUGGUACAAGCACCUGCCUAGUAAGCAUGAGGUCAUGAGUUUGAUUCCCGGUAUCUCCC
This 73-nucleotide transfer RNA is filed under the name Cavia porcellus (domestic guinea pig). It matches the Rfam family "tRNA". From Rfam's summary of the family: Transfer RNA (tRNA) molecules are approximately 80 nucleotides in length. Their secondary structure includes four short double-helical elements and three loops (D, anti-codon, and T loops). Lineage: Eukaryota; Metazoa; Chordata; Mammalia; Rodentia; Caviidae. The record is from Rfam by way of RNAcentral.